UGCUUGUUACAUUUAAACAUAAAUGAAAUGUAUGUUUUGUGGUUAAUUGGUAUUUGUAUGGAAAGGAUUGUCUGAUGCUGAAUUCUUUUGAUUUUUCAAGUCUUAUUGGAAAUUGGAUAUUGCUUUUGAGGAAAGUACAUUUUGUCAUCAUGUUUUUUGUUAUGGGGUUUGAACAUUAAAGGGUUUUGAGGUUGGGAUAACUAAUGCAUUGUAAGUAUAGAGCUUUUGCUUGGGUUCAUUGGAAAACAAUUUCAUUUUAUGUACAUAGAGAGAUUUGAAAGAACAUCUGAAUUACAUCAGCUCUUUUCUUGAUACUUUUUUAUGAAUCCGAUAUCACGUGUUUCAUUUACUUUUUUAUAAAAUCAUUAAGGUUAAGUGAAAAAAUUACAAACCAAAUGAAAGUAAGAGGAAAACACGAAUAACAAAACAAAAGAAUCUUCUUAGGGAUAAAGUUAUGCUGCAUUCAUGUUCACCAUAGUGUAUAUAGAUUGCACAUUGUCAUGCAAAAAUUAGCCCAUUCUCUUUUAUCCAAUGCAUCAAAUAUUUUCACCAUAAAGUUUCAACGGACUUUGGUGACAACACCCAGGAUUUGCCAAAAAUGCCAAACAAAAGAGUUCCAAAGAGAAACAGAAGCCGAAAAGUUUAAGAAUAGAUGAGAAACUGGUUCUGAGCAACCCUGGUGCAUAACAUGGACGCACCACAGUGCCCCAUACCAUAUGAAAGAAGGCGAAAGCGAAAGCGGGCUGCUGUUGCAACACUCUAUGAUGAAAUCAGGCAACGAGAGCGGACUCUGUUCUCUGAAGUUGUGUUUGCGAGUUGGUUUUUGGAGGGUUCUGGAGGACUAAGUCUAUAUUUUGAUAUAUAUUUAAUAUUUGAAAAAAUUAAAAGAACAACAUGGUAUAAUAUGCUCAUGUAUCAUGUUGUUCGUUCAAUAUUUUUAAAACACCAAAUAUAAUAGUACCCCAAAGCCUUCGUCUCUAAAAUCCAACUCACAAACACACCUUAAUGGACACUGCGUCAUUUUCCCCCACCCUCCAUGGAGGAGGAGUACCAUGUAGUUAGGAAGAUAAUUGAUGCCUCAACCAUACUUGAGAUAUCUAUCCUCUCUGGUGAUGAGUCAUUCGGUAGUAUUAUUUCUUUGGGGUGGAUAAGAAAGUGUCAAGAGACGAACUCUUUCAAAGGAAUGUUCUAUAUUUGAAAUAAUUUGGGAGUGGAUAAAAUAUUUGCACGAAAACACCCCAGAAGGCUCAAAAUGUCCAGCUUCUUUUGUAAGAGAUAGGAGACUGAUGAACAGUCUAGUAGCCCUAAAAAAGACCAAGAGCUAUAUCAUUGAGUUAUGGAGAAAGUUAAAAUUCCAUGAGACCAUAUACCUCAUAUUAAGGCUUCUCUUAUUAUCAUAAUAUAUAAUAAUUUAUUUAUUUUUAA
Lathyrus oleraceus (garden pea) is the source of this 1425-nucleotide long non-coding RNA. RefSeq lists it as uncharacterized. NCBI's taxonomy places the organism in Eukaryota, Viridiplantae, Streptophyta, Magnoliopsida, Fabales, Fabaceae. The transcript has 2 exons. The record is from RefSeq and is a predicted model, not a curated record.